RNAcentral lists this ribosomal RNA (496 nucleotides) under uncultured bacterium. Its description in RNAcentral is "partial 16S ribosomal RNA". It matches the Rfam family "Bacterial small subunit ribosomal RNA", at positions 28 to 506 of the family's 1533-position model. The record is from RNAcentral.
GAUGAACGCUGGCGGCGUGCCUAAUACAUGCAAGUCGAGCGAACAGACGAGGAGCUUGCUCCUCUGACGUUAGCGGCGGACGGGUGAGUAACACGUGGAUAACCUACCUAUAAGACUGGGAUAACUUCGGGAAACCGGAGCUAAUACCGGAUAAUAUAUUGAACCGCAUGGUUCAAUAGUGAAAGACGGUUUUGCUGUCACUUAUAGAUGGAUCCGCGCCGCAUUAGCUAGUUGGUAAGGUAACGGCUUACCAAGGCAACGAUGCGUAGCCGACCUGAGAGGUGGAUCGGCCACACUGGAACUGAGACACGGUCCAGACUCCUACGGGAGGCAGCAGUAGGGAAUCUGCCGCAAUGGGCGAAAGCCUGACGGAGCAACGCCGCGUGAGUGAUGAAGGUCUUCGGAUCGUAAAACGCUGUUAUUAGGGAAGAACAAAUGUGUAAGUAACCAUGCACGUCUUGACGGUACCUAAGCAGAAAGCCACGGCUAACUACGU